This 45-nucleotide non-coding RNA is filed under the name Schistosoma mattheei. The record is from RNAcentral. Lineage: Eukaryota; Metazoa; Platyhelminthes; Trematoda; Strigeidida; Schistosomatidae.
AUUCAACUGAUGAGUCCAAAAUAGGAUGGAACGCACAUCCUGGAU